GGGAAUUCGAUUAGAGUUUGAUCAUGGCUCACAACGUACGCUGGCGGCACGCCUUAUACAUGCAAGUCGAACGAAGUAGUAAUACUUAGUGGCAGACGGGUGAGUAACAUGUAGGUAUCUUCCCUUUGGUGAGGAAUAACACGAGGAAACUUGUGCUAAUACCUCAUAAGUCUUUACGGAGAAAGCUUUAUGCGCCAAUGGAUGAGCCUGCACUUGAUUAGUUUGUUGGUGGGGUAAUGGCCUACCAAGACAAUGAUCAAUAGCUGAUUUGAGAGGAUGAUCAGCCACAUUGGGACUGAGACACGGCCCAAACUCCUACGGGAGGCAGCAGUAGGGAAUCUUGCACAAUGGGGGAAACCCUGAUGCAGCGAUGCCGCGUGAGUGAAGAAGGCCUUUGGGUUGUAAAGCUCUUUCGUCGGGGAAGAAAAUGACUGUACCCGAAUAAGAAGGUCCGGCUAACUUCGUGCCAGCAGCCGCGGUAAUACGAAGGGACCUAGCGUAGUUCGGAAUUACUGGGCUUAAAGAGUUCGUAGGUGGUUAAAAAAGUUGGUGGUGAAAUCCCAGAGCUUAACUCUGGAACUGCCAUCAAAACUUUUUAGCUAGAGUAUGAUAGAGGAAAGCAGAAUUUCUAGUGUAGAGGUGAAAUUCGUAGAUAUUAGAAAGAAUACCAAUUGCGAAGGCAGCUUUCUGGAUCAUUACUGACACUGAGGAACGAAAGCAUGGGUAGCGAAGAGGAUUAGAUACCCUCGUAGUCCAUGCCGUAAACGAUGUGUGUUAGACGUUGGAAAUUUAUUUUCAGUGUCGCAGCGAAAGCAAUAAACACACCGCCUGGGGAGUACGACCGCAAGGUUAAAACUCAAAUGAAUUGACGGGGACCCGCACAAGUAGUGGAGCAUGUGGUUUAAUUCGAAGAUACGCGCAGAACCUUACCAACACUUGACAUGUUCGUCGCGACUUUAAGAGAUUAAAGUUUUCGGUUCGGCCGGACGAAACACAGGUGCUGCAUGGCUGUCGUCAGCUCGUGUCGUGAGAUGUUGGGUUAAGUCCCGCAACGAGCGCAACCCUCACUUUUAGUUGCCAUCAUUUAGUUGGGCACUCUGAAAGAACUGCCAGUGAUAAGCUGGAGGAAGGUGGGGAUGACGUCAAGUCCUCAUGGCCCUUACGUGUUGGGCUACACACGUGCUACAAUGGCAUUUACAAUAGGAAGCAAGACGGCGACGUUAAGCAAAUCCUAAAAAAAUGCCUCAGUUCGGAUUGUACUCUGCAACUCGAGUACAUGAAGCUGGAAUUACUAGUAAUCGCGGAUCAGCGCGCCGCGGUGAAUACGUUCCCG
Molecule: ribosomal RNA, 1333 nt
Filed under: uncultured bacterium
Lineage: Bacteria
Description: bacterial SSU rRNA
Rfam family: Bacterial small subunit ribosomal RNA
Source: RNAcentral